GUUGACCUCGGAUCAGGUAGGAAUACCCGCUGAACUUAAGCAUAUCAAUAAGCGGAGGAAAAGAAACCAACAGGGAUUGCCCCAGUAACGGCGAGUGAAGCGGCAACAGCUCAAAUUUGAAAUCUGGCCUUCUGGUCCGAAUUGUAAUUUGUAGAGGAUGCUUUUGGUUAGGUACCUUCCGAGUUCCUUGGAACAGGACGCCUUAGAGGGUGAGAGCCCCGUACGGUUGGAUACCGAGCCUCUGUAAAGCUCCUUCGACGAGUCGAGUAGUUUGGGAAUGCUGCUCUAAAUGGGAGGUAAAUUUCUUCUAAAGCUAAAUACCGGCCAGAGACCGAUAGCGCACAAGUAGAGUGAUCGAAAGAUGAAAAGCACUUUGAAAAGAGGGUUAAAUAGUACGUGAAAUUGUUGAAAGGGAAGGGCUUAUGACCAGACCUUUGCCUUGCGGAUCAUCCGGUGUUCUCACCGGUGCACUUCGCUUGGUUUAGGCCAGCAUCGAUUUCGGUAGGGGGAUAAAGACUUUAGUAAUGUGGCUCCUCCGGGAGUGUUAUAGACUAUUGUGUAAUACCUUNACUGGGAUCGAGGACCGCGCUUCGGCUAGGAUGCUGGCAUAAUGGUCAUCAGCCACCCGUCUUGAAACACGGACCAAGGAGUCGAACAUUUAUGCGAGUGUUUGGGUGUUAAACCCUCACGCGUAAUGAAAGUGAACGGAGGUGAGAGCCCUUUUGGGUGCAUCAUCGACCGAUCCUGAUGUCUUCGGAUGGAUUUGAGUAAGAGCAUAACUGUUCGGACCCGAAAGAUGGUGAACUAUGCGUGGAUAGGGUGAAGCCAGAGGAAACUCUGGUGGAGGCUCGCAGCGGUUCUGACGUGCAAAUCGAUCGUCAAAUCUGCGCAUGGGGGCGAAAGACUAAUCGAAC
This 914-nucleotide ribosomal RNA is filed under the name Idriella lunata. RNAcentral's name for it is "eukaryotic LSU rRNA". It matches the Rfam family "Eukaryotic large subunit ribosomal RNA", at positions 1 to 940 of the family's 3401-position model. Lineage: Eukaryota; Fungi; Ascomycota; Sordariomycetes; Xylariales; Microdochiaceae. The record is from RNAcentral.